This 460-nucleotide long non-coding RNA is filed under the name Mus pahari (shrew mouse). Its description in RNAcentral is "lncRNA (MGP_PahariEiJ_G0003242.1)". The record is from RNAcentral. Lineage: Eukaryota; Metazoa; Chordata; Mammalia; Rodentia; Muridae.
AUGUCCCAUUUCCUGCUGCCACAUGUGCGGGCAUAUGCAGGCCUGAACUCUGAGGUUCAUCAAAGUAGCCAGCUCUCUAACAGCAAUGGCUUCCCCCAUUUCCAACUGCAGCAAGCUGAACACAGCCAAGGCCUGUUGUAUGCAGCAGGCGGCUUAUAAGUGUUGUAUGCAGCAGGCGGCUUAUAUUGCAGCAGCUUCUGGCUGAGUCUCCAGCUCCCAACUCCCUGCAGAGGCACAGGGACUCACGCACGACUGCUUCUGGUUUUCUAUGUUCUCUCAGCAAAUCUGAAGUAUUGGUUACAGACCCAGGCUUUUGCCUGCCACUUCAAGGUGCAGAGUGUCUUUAUAAGCUGGCCCUGAGAAAUGUCCAGUGCACAGCUUUCAUUUGUGCAGCCUGAGUUGUCACCCUGGUCUAUCAGUCUUGGAGUGUGCAUUCAAUAAACCAUCCCUGUUUAACUGA